RNAcentral lists this ribosomal RNA (253 nucleotides) under uncultured bacterium. RNAcentral's name for it is "partial 16S ribosomal RNA". It matches the Rfam family "Bacterial small subunit ribosomal RNA", at positions 524 to 776 of the family's 1533-position model. The record is from RNAcentral.
UACGAAGGGGGCUAGCGUUGCUCGGAAUCACUGGGCGUAAAGGGUGCGUAGGCGGGUCUUUAAGUCAGGGGUGAAAUCCUGGAGCUCAACUCCAGAACUGCCUUUGAUACUGAAGAUCUUGAGUUCGGGAGAGGUGAGUGGAACCGCGAGUGUAGAGGUGAAAUUCGUAGAUAUUAGGAAGAACACCAGUGGCGAAGGCGGCUCACUGGUCCGGUACUGACGCUGAGGUGCGAAAGCGUGGGGAGCAAACAGG